Molecule: transfer RNA, 68 nt
Filed under: marine eukaryotic metagenome
Rfam family: tRNA
About the family: Transfer RNA (tRNA) molecules are approximately 80 nucleotides in length. Their secondary structure includes four short double-helical elements and three loops (D, anti-codon, and T loops). Further hydrogen bonds mediate the characteristic L-shaped molecular structure. tRNAs have two regions of fundamental functional importance: the anti-codon, which is responsible for specific mRNA codon recognition, and the 3' end, to which the tRNAs corresponding amino acid is attached (by aminoacyl-tRNA synthetases). tRNAs cope with the degeneracy of the genetic code in two manners: having more than one tRNA (with a specific anti-codon) for a particular amino acid; and 'wobble' base-pairing, i.e. permitting non-standard base-pairing at the 3rd anti-codon position.
Source: RNAcentral
GGCUUAGCUCAGUUGGUAGAGCAACUGAUUUGUAAUCAGUAGGUCGCGGGUUCGACUCCUGCAGCCGG